UACGCCGUUUGAGUAGUUUUUAGGUGAUCAUCAACGGAAAGCAUAAUCCUCACUUUAUACACACCCAAGCUCAUUAGUGUAAAUCACAAAUUAAAUGUUUUGUUAACAUUUUAAAUACUUUUUCAUGAACAUUAACAAUGUAUCACUAAUUAUUUAUCAAAAUUCUAUAAAAGAUAUUUAGUAAACACUCAUGGAAAUAGCAUGUCAUAAAUCAAUACAGUGGUCAAUGACCGGAAAUUUAAUUACACGUGUAUUGUCAGAUUAACUCUUCAAUCCAUUUAAAUCC
Molecule: long non-coding RNA, 286 nt
Filed under: Mytilus galloprovincialis (Mediterranean mussel)
Lineage: Eukaryota; Metazoa; Mollusca; Bivalvia; Mytilida; Mytilidae
Source: RNAcentral